CUGAAAAUGUGCAGACAAUGUUUUGGAAUGAACAUAGAAUGGGAUGUUCACUAAACAGUACAUUGCAGUGACUAAAAAUCCAAACCGUAAAAUUCAGGUCAAAAUAGCGGAUUUGGAAAUAUUAGCCCGACUCAGCUGUAAUCCCAGCUUGGCUAUUUAACUCGAAAGUUUGUCAUUUUACUUUUUAGUUCAUUAAAAUUCACUGUUUCGGGAAUAACCCUCACAGUAUUAGGAGUUUACUAUCAGAAAUCCCCAUCGGUUUUAUUCUUGCAGAAUCCCUGCUUUAAAAGAAGUGCUGAGGGAAUCACAGAUCACAGACAUGUUAGCAUUCAAACACAGUUACACUUUUGCCAGAUCUUUUACAUCCAAGAAUACUUUCUAGUGUUAAAAGCCAUUAAUAUCCAACCGCGGAAUAAUAACUAUUAAAUGACCGUUCCGCCUUAAAAUGCAUGUAUGUUAUAACAAUCUGUAUUAAAUAGUGCAGUUAGCAGACAGGAG
Non-coding RNA from Pelobates cultripes (western spadefoot toad), 498 nucleotides. The record is from the annotation of a GenBank genome assembly. Lineage: Eukaryota; Metazoa; Chordata; Amphibia; Anura; Pelobatidae.